This 699-nucleotide ribosomal RNA is filed under the name uncultured fungus. RNAcentral describes it as "SSU rRNA". It matches the Rfam family "Eukaryotic small subunit ribosomal RNA", at positions 392 to 1092 of the family's 1831-position model. Lineage: Eukaryota; Fungi. The record is from RNAcentral.
GAGCCUGAGAAACGGCUACCACAUCCAAGGAUGGCAGCAGGCGCGCAAAUUACCCAAUCCCGACACGGGGAGGUAGUGACAAUAAAUAACAAUACGGGGUUCUUUAGGAUCUCGUAAUUGGAAUGAGUACAAUUUAAAUCUCUUAACGAGGAACAAUUGGAGGGCAAGUCUGGUGCCAGCAGCCGCGGUAAUUCCAGCUCCAAUAGCGUAUAUUAAAGUUGUUGCAGUUAAAAAGCUCGUAGUUGAAUUUCGGGGUUAGUAGGUUGGUCAUGCCUCUGGUAUGUACUGGUCUCACUGAUUCCUCCUUCCUUAUGAACCGUAAUGCCAUUAAUUUGGUGUUGCGGGGAAUUUGGACUGUUACUUUGAAAAAAUUAGAGUGUUUAAAGCAAGCUAACGCUUGAAUACAUUAGCAUGGAAUAAUGAAAUAGGACGUUCGAUCUUAUUUUGUUGGUUUCUAGGAUUGACGUAAUGAUUAAUAGGGAUAGUUGGGGGCAUUAGUAUUCAAUUGUCAGAGGUGAAAUUCUUGGAUUUAUUGAAGACUAACUACUGCGAAAGCAUUUGUCGAGGAUGUUUUCAUUAAUCAAGAACGAAAGUUAGGGGAUCGAAGACGAUCAGAUACCGUCGUAGUCUUAACCAUAAACUAUGCCGACUAGGGAUCGGAUGAUGUUAAUUUUUUAAUGACUCAUUCGGCGCCUUACG